UACGUAGGUCCCGAGCGUUGUCCGGAUUUAUUGGGCGUAAAGCGAGCGCAGGCGGUUAGAUAAGUCUGAAGUUAAAGGCUGUGGCUCAACCAUAGUACGCUUUGGAAACUGUUUAACUUGAGUGCAAGAGGGGAGAGUGGAAUUCCAUGUGUAGCGGUGAAAUGCGUAGAUAUAUGGAGGAACACCGGUGGCGAAAGCGGCUCUCUGGCUUGUAACUGACGCUGAGGCUCGAAAGCGUGGGGAGCAAACAGGAUUAGAUACCCUGGUAGUC
RNAcentral lists this ribosomal RNA (271 nucleotides) under uncultured Streptococcaceae bacterium. RNAcentral describes it as "partial 16S ribosomal RNA". It matches the Rfam family "Bacterial small subunit ribosomal RNA", at positions 524 to 795 of the family's 1533-position model. Lineage: Bacteria; Bacillati; Bacillota; Bacilli; Lactobacillales; Streptococcaceae. The record is from RNAcentral.